This 253-nucleotide ribosomal RNA is filed under the name uncultured bacterium. Its description in RNAcentral is "partial 16S ribosomal RNA". It matches the Rfam family "Bacterial small subunit ribosomal RNA", at positions 524 to 776 of the family's 1533-position model. The record is from RNAcentral.
UACGUAGGGUGCGAGCGUUAAUCGGAAUUACUGGGCGUAAAGCGUGCGUAGGCGGUUCUGCAAGUCAGAUGUGAAAUCCCCGGGCUUAACCUGGGAACUGCGUUUGAAACUACGGAGCUAGAGUGUGGCAGAGGGGGGUGGAAUUCCACGUGUAGCAGUGAAAUGCGUAGAUAUGUGGAGGAACACCGAUGGCGAAGGCAACCCCCUGGGCCGACACUGACGCUGAGGCACGAAAGCGUGGGGAGCAAACAGG